UCAUAGCGACUAUCGUGGCAUAUCAAUAAGCGGAGGAAAAGAAACUAACAAGGAUUCCCCUAGUAACGGCGAGUGAAGCGGGAAGAGCUCAAAUUUGAAAUCUUCAAGGUUUUACCUUGACGAAUUGUAGUUUAAAGAAGUGUUUUCUGUUGAAGUUUUGGUAAAAGUUCUUUGGAAUAGGACAUCAUAGAGGGUGAGAAUCCCGUAUUUGACCAUUAUUUUCAGCUGUGUGAUACACUUUCAAAGAGUCGGAUUGUUUGGGAAUGCAGUCCAAAAUGGGUGGUAAAUUUCAUCUAAAGCUAAAUAUUGGCGAGAGACCGAUAGCGAACAAGUACCGUGAGGGAAAGAUGAAAAGAACUUUGAAAAGAGAGUUAAACAGUACGUGAAAUUGUCAAAAGGGAAGCGUUUGACACCAGUGUUGUUUUCUCGAAAAUCGAUUAAAAAAGGCCGGAUUUUGUGUUGUAUUGACCUUAAAAGCUUUCUUCACUCUUUUCUUGUCUUUUUUAAUGCACUUUUCGUUUAACAAGUCGACAUCAGUUUCUUUUGUUGUAAAAGGGUAUGAGGAAGGUGGCUUUCUUUUCGGAGAAAGUGUUUAUAGCCUUGUGCUUCUGCAAUCGGAGAGAUUGAGGUCUGCAGCGUAGAUCCUUCGGGGUUAGAUACAGUUUGUGCUAAGCUAUAGUUCUUUAUAGACAACUUGUUGACUAUAGUCUAGUCCUGUAGCUUACUCGCUGAUGCUAUUUUACCUACGCUUAGGAUGUUGAUAGUCACAGCGUGUAC
RNAcentral lists this ribosomal RNA (777 nucleotides) under uncultured Neocallimastigales. RNAcentral describes it as "partial large subunit ribosomal RNA". The stretch from base 6 to 695 matches the Rfam family "Eukaryotic large subunit ribosomal RNA", at positions 24 to 664 of the family's 3401-position model. Lineage: Eukaryota; Fungi; Neocallimastigomycota; Neocallimastigomycetes; Neocallimastigales. The record is from RNAcentral.